Molecule: long non-coding RNA, 5332 nt
Filed under: Sus scrofa (pig)
Lineage: Eukaryota; Metazoa; Chordata; Mammalia; Artiodactyla; Suidae
Description: lncRNA (ENSSSCG00035056609.1)
Source: RNAcentral
GGAACUUCCUCUAUCUAUUCCUCUCUCUCUUUUAACCCCUGUGCCGGCAAAGAGGGAAAUAUGCCCACAGGGUUCCCCCAAAGAGCAGGAUCUUUUGAGCCAGAUGUCACAGACCUAAAUCUGGGUUUACCCUGCCACUUUCCAUCUGGAUGACCUUGACUGAGUCAUUUGACCUCUCCGGGCCUCAGUUUCUUCAUCUAUAAAAUAGAUGCAAGGAUCCCUAUCUUAAGGGACUGUCAUGCAGAAUGGAACUGAAACAGGUAAAAUGCCUUGAGCAGGAUUUGGCAUAUGUUUGGUGUUCAAUAAACAGUGUCAUUUGUUAAUAUUACAUAUUUCGUUGACCCUGAGCCCAGCACCAGGCCUGCUUCCUUUCUCCCGUGUCCACCCUGCAUUCCUCUCUUUCAGGCUUACUUUGUGAUACAAAUUUAGAAAGAUGGCAGAGCAGAGGCCUGGAGAAGCCUAGGUGAGGCCCAGGCCAGGCAUGCCCCACCCCCCACCAUAAAUGGGCACAGACACAAGUUCCUCCUCUUUACCCCUCUGCUCUUGCAGAGAGUGGGGAGAAAGUUGCAUUCAUCCUCCGAAAUCUUUCAACCAAUACUCUCAUAAUAAUCUCCAAUGAUAAACAUCUCCAAAAUAAUAAUAAUUAUCUCCAAUAAUCUCCGGAGUUCCUGCUCAGUGUGUUAAGAACUAGACAUGGUGUCCAUGAGCAGGUUCAAUCCUUGGCCUUGCUCAGUCAAUCAAGGAUCUGGUAUUGCCACAAGCUGUGGUGUAGGUUGCAGAUGUGGCUCGGAUCUGGUCUUGUCAUAGUUGUGGCAUAGGCCAGCAGCUGCAGCUCCGAUUUAACCCCUAGCCUGGGGACUUUCAUAUGCUGCAAGUUCAGACUUAAAAAGAAAAAAAAAAAAAAAAAAAAAAAGCAACUCAUACCCAUUGCUAUCAGGGAGGUAGAGGAAUUUCCAGAAAGAUAAAAGUCAGUUCUUAAAGCCCCCUCAAGGCUAAGGAUCUAGACGGUUAUGUAAAACUGAUGUGGCUUGCUAAGGGGAUCUCACACAUGUUAAUUUCUUCGAUGUCUCAUUUUCUGGUGACUGCAAUAUGCAGUACCAUGCACUGUCCUGGACCCUGGGAGUCAGAGCCCUACCCUUGAGAAUAUCACAUAUUGUGGGGGAAAUAACAUAUUCACAAGUAUGGAAAAGACAGUGACCUCCACAGAGGUGCCAGCAUAUCUUCAUUCCUAGCCAACCUCCACUUGCUACAGAAUGGAGCUGGGGGAGGCAAGCAGUGAUACCCAGAGCCCUGUUUUGUCAUUCAGCAUUUCCACUUACAUCCUAAGAUUUUUUAGAGGACAAUAACCAUUAGCUUUGGCAAAAAUAAAUUACAGAGACAUCAUCACUGUUUUGUUUUUCCCUGACUCCCCCUUGGCAUUACAAAUUAGUUCUCACAUCACUUAGGAAAACAGUCUGAACUUUAUAAACCUAAUACAACUUAAUUAUCCCUUCCUAAAGUGGUUUCCACACUUUUAGGAACCACUGAAUGAAGAUGUAUUUCCAGGGUUAUGCAUUCACAUACAAAAAUAGCUGUUAUUAUUAUCAUGAGUUUCAUUGGGAUGUUUCUUGGUACCAAAAAUAUUCCUUUCCUAGAGAAUAAAAAUUAAAACUGACUUGUUUCCCUGUGCCUUCACUGCAGACCAAACAUCAGUGUUGCAAAUCAGUUUGUAAAGAAUGCGUUCCUAAUAGCCACAACCCUUUCUAGAAGUUGCCUGGGAGCAUCCCAAGCCCUGCUGGAAAAUUCCAUAAUAAAAUAACACCAAGGAUCCCCAAACCUCCUUCUCUGUUUGGCUGCCUCUCUGCUGGAUUUACCCUGACGUUUUCUAAACAGACUGUAUGAAAGAGGUGUCUUGUCUGGUUUUGCUGGUUAUCAUUCUCUUUUUUUUCAGAACGAUUUCAGAAAAGACCAUAAGCUUGUGACAGAGUGAAUUUGUGAUCUUAUCCCAUCAUCUGGGCUGUUUGCAAAACUUCAGUAGGUGGCAGCGUUUUGUUGAUAAAUGUUUUGUUAGCCAAGUGAUCUCAUUUAGUGCAACUGUUGCAAUAUUAAUAAACUGAACUUAUGAUCGUGUUUGCCAGGACUGAAAAGAUUGCCGUUCUAUCCAGCGGGUGCUCUUAUCUGAACUGACAGCAGCAUUCAUUGCAUCAGAGGUAGGGAGGGGGGACUCGGUGCAACUGUAUGUGUGCUAUGAUGAGGAGAAAGGAACGGAGGCAGGGGAGAAAAAGCGUUGGGAACCAGGGCUUGAGGUGAAGAAAGGGAACGUAAAGGAACGAAAAGAUGAGGUUACACCCUGUACCUGGCUGGUUCUGACAAAACACUGGGCUGGCCCGUGUGUGCGCUCCUUCCUCGGUGCCCCCUUAUGGUCUGUACUGACCAUAAAAGUGAUCCCUGAGGUCCUAGGGAAACUAGGUGAGGGCCGCUGGCUAUUAGCAAGCAUCUCAGGUCCCUGCAGCAACCACAGGAGAGCUCACAGGAGCUGAAUCCCCUCCACAUCCACUUUCUGAGGCCAGUCAGUGCUCCAGAUGUGUCCCCAAGCUUCCCAGGGCUGGGACAGACACGAUCUAUGCUCUCUCCAAAUCAGAACAACCUCUGCUAGACCGAUCACGACCGUUAGGACAAGUCCCAGAGUGGCCUCUAGAAAGAGGAGGCAGCGCCUCCUUUACCAAAAGCUUCAGCCUGUCACUCAGGGCUCUGCAAUCUGACCCCAACCAUCCAUUGUCUCACCUUUUUUCAUUCCCCUUGGUAAAUAACACCUUCCUUUGCAGGUUGUAAAGAUCUGCCUGGUGAACAGAUCCUUGGGGACUCUUGAGGAAGUGCCCACUUUGACUGGAGACCUAUGGAAGCUACCAUUACACUAGAAGGUUUUCAGAGCCACCUAGACCAGCAUUUCAGGACUGUUCCUUGUGAGAAACCUAGACACUGAGCCCAGAAUCUGCCCUAUACUUUGCCGAUUCCAGAACUUUGCCACUGACAAUGCUUUUACCCACUUGUGAUAUCUCUUAUUCUCUCACCUUCAUCUCUCAAAAUGACACAUUUCAUGAGCAGACCCAAACCCUUCCUCAGUGAUAAAGUCUUCUCUGAUCACCCCAGCUGGAAUGUACGUCUUUCUUGCACGAACACCCACUGCAGUCAUCAGUGACCACUAUGCCAGCUGCCUCACAUUGCUUUAGACCAGGAAGAGGAGGACGUCACUGCUGCAACCGGCCUACUCUUCCUGAAAGCAUGAGGACCUGUCCCACAUGUUUCUACAGGCGCUCAGUGAAAACCUGGUUGGUGCCUCAUCUGAACUGCUUUCCAUUUACAUUUUUUAGGCCAUUUAUUUUUUGGCCUUAUAUUAAAAUCCUAAAACUGCUCUACUUGCAAUGCCCACUUUCCUCUCCAGACUGUCAAUGCCUCACAUGCAAAGGCCUAUUGUUAUCUUUGUAUAACCCUAACACCCAGCACAAUGUCUUACCAAAAAUGUCUUUCAAAUUAAUUAGUGAUGAAAUAAUGCCUCAAUAGUCAAAUUAGCACGCCAGGCAGUCUCACUGCCAUCUGAGAAGACCUCCCUCAAAUCUCUUUUUUGAGAAGUCACUUCUCUAAGAUCCCAGGAUUGAAUUCCUCAGCAAGGCAAGACCCACACAGUCCAUCCCAGCCUCUACCCCACAAAACCUAGGCCUCUGAACAGUUACCCUAAGGACUUCAUGAACGGAUUAAAAAUUAUAAACUGCCUUUGUCUCCAAAACAGCAGAAAGCCAUUUUUUUAACAUCAGUUACUAAUCUUUGUUCAUUCCAUUCAUAAUUUCUUGUUUAUGCUUAUGGUUUCUUAUUUCUGCUUGUAAUUUCUAAGGCAAAACAAUGACCAUUCAUUUCCAUGAAGACAUUCACCUCUUCCUCCUUUCUAAGUCUUCCUAUUAAAGCUAAUCAGGAGUUUGGGAAGAUGCUGGAACUAGUUGUAGAAUAAUUUAGAUCAUCCCAUGGGACUCAGAAGAGCACGUCCUCUUCCCUAAGGGUAUCCCAGGUAGGUACUUGGUAUAAGUUAUAAUAAAGCCCACCCUUGCACAAUGUCUAUUGCCCAACAGAAUGUGCUUUAGCAACACCGUUUUAUCAGCUAGUUCAUCAUGUCAGAGUGGGUGAAGUAAAUUUAGGAGGGCAUGGCCUCCCAUUUACAGGAGGCAUCAUCAUUACAUCCAAAUAUCUUCUGAGAACCUACAGUGAGCACAGGGAUGUCUUUGCCAAAAGCUCUUGGACAGAGAUGGAAAAGAUGGCAUGGUUCAGAAAAUGGAUUUGCGUGCUUAAGCAACAGGCAUUUAUAAAGAAACCAUGAUUUCUUGCCUUCUCUUAGGCAAAGAGUCUGAGGCAGGAAGGAAGAGAAAAGGGCUCUGGUGGCAUUAUUAAAUCCCUCCAGUAUGUCUCCGGGUACUUCAGAGAUCUUUUGUGAUAAAACCCUCUCGAGGUUUGUGUAGGGAAACAACCACCCUUCAGCUUCUAUCCUACAAUCCACAGGGCUGUGUUCCUUCAGAUAAUAUUAGAGUUGAGAUAACUAGAUUUCCUCCAACCCAAUCCCUCCCCACAAAAACCAAUCCAUCGUGGUGCAUGUACAAGCACACACACACACACACACACACACACACACACACGCACACACAGAUACCUAUCCUUCGAUCUGUAGAUGUUUCCAGCAAGAACUACACAUUCAUGGUGAGGCUGAAAAUAAAGCUUUGCUUUAACAAAGAUGUCCCAGGUGUGCAUGUCACAGAAACAAAGUAAUGUGGGUGUUCCCUCUCCAGAUUUAGCCUCACAGCCAGACUCCCUUGGGACCAAAUCACCAUCAAAUAUCUACACUAGCCAAUUAAACCAUGCUCAUUCAUUCUACUUAAGCUUCUAAGCUGCACUUCACUGGAAACUUUGCAUUUAAGUUAACUUGCCUGUGAUUCACUUCAGAGUGUCCUUUAAUGUAGUCAAAUCCCAUCAGAUAAUCAGUCAUUACAUUCAGGGAACAGCCCAUGGCACCAUUCUCCCAUGCUUCAGCCCACACAAUUCCCAACUUGCUGAAGCAAAUGAAGAACUACAUGAUGAGGAGUUCCUUUCGUGGUGCAGGGAAAGUGAAUCCGACUGGGAACCAUGAGGUUGUGGGUUCGAUCCCUGGCUUCGCUCAGUGGGUUACAGAUCUGGCAUGGCAGUGAGCUGUGGUGUAGGUCACAGAUGUGGCUCGGAUCCUGCAUUGCCAUGGCUGUGGUGUAGGUGGGCAGCUGUAGCUCCAAUUUGACCCUUAGCCUGGGAACCUCCAUAUGCCAUGAGUGUGGCCCUAAAA